CCUACGGGAGGCAGCAGUGAGGAAUAUUGGUCAAUGGGCGCGAGCCUGAACCAGCCAAGUAGCGUGAAGGAUGACUGCCCUACGGGUUGUAAACUUCUUUUAUAAAGGAAUAAAGUGAGGCACGUGUGCCUUUUUGUAUGUACUUUAUGAAUAAGGAUCGGCUAACUCCGUGCCAGCAGCCGCGGUAAUACGGAGGAUCCGAGCGUUAUCCGGAUUUAUUGGGUUUAAAGGGAGCGUAGAUGGGGUGUUAAGUCAGGUGUGAAAGUUUGCGGCUCAACCGUAAAAGUGCAAUUGAUACUGGCAGCCUUGAGUACAGUUGAGGUAGGCGGAAUGCGUGGUGUAGCGGUGAAAUGCUUAGAUAUCACGCAGAACUCCGAUUGCGAAGGCAGCUUACUAAACUGCCACUGACAUUGAUGCUCGAAGGUGUGGGUAUCAAACAGGAUUAGAUACCCUUGUAGUC
This 460-nucleotide ribosomal RNA is filed under the name uncultured bacterium. RNAcentral's name for it is "partial 16S ribosomal RNA". It matches the Rfam family "Bacterial small subunit ribosomal RNA", at positions 338 to 795 of the family's 1533-position model. The record is from RNAcentral.